RNAcentral lists this signal recognition particle RNA (98 nucleotides) under Fidelibacterota bacterium. RNAcentral's name for it is "signal recognition particle sRNA small type". It matches the Rfam family "Bacterial small signal recognition particle RNA". Rfam says of the family: The signal recognition particle (SRP) is a universally conserved ribonucleoprotein involved in the co-translational targeting of proteins to membranes. Lineage: Bacteria; Pseudomonadati; Fidelibacterota. The record is from RNAcentral.
UCCCAGGUCUCAUACAGUGUGAAGUUACCCAACCCCGUCAGGUCUGGAAGGAAGCAGCGGUAAGUGACAGAGCGCGUGUUAUGAAUCGCCUGGGGCCU